GAUGAACGCUAGCGGCAGGCCUAACACAUGCAAGUCGAGGGGUAGAGUUCUUCGGGACUUGAGACCGGCGCACGGGUGCGUAACGCGUAUGCAAUCUACCUUAUACAGGGGAAUAGCCCAGAGAAAUUUGGAUUAAUGCCCCAUAGUGUUAUCGAAUCGCAUGGUUUGAUAACUAAAGUUCCAACGGUAUAAGAUGAGCAUGCGUCCCAUUAGUUAGUUGGUAAGGUAACGGCUUUACCAAGACAAUGAUGGGUAGGGUCCUGAGAGGGAGAUCCCCCACACUGGUACUGAGACACGGACCAGACUCCUACGGGAGGCAGCAGUGAGGAAUAUUGUCAAUGGGCGCAAGCCUGAACCAGCCAUGCCGCGUGCAGGAAGACGGUCCUAUGG
This 390-nucleotide ribosomal RNA is filed under the name uncultured bacterium. Its description in RNAcentral is "bacterial SSU rRNA". It matches the Rfam family "Bacterial small subunit ribosomal RNA", at positions 28 to 422 of the family's 1533-position model. The record is from RNAcentral.